AUUGAACGCUGGCGGCAUGCCUUACACAUGCAAGUCGAACGGCAGCACGGGAGCUUGCUCCUGGUGGCGAGUGGCGAACGGGUGAGUAAUACAUCGGAACGUACCCAGGAGUGGGGGAUAACGUAGCGAAAGUUACGCUAAUACCGCAUAUUCUGUGAGCAGGAAAGCGGGGGAUCGCAAGACCCCGCGCUCUUGGAGCGGCCGAUGUCGGAUUAGCUAGUUGGUGAGGUAAAAGCUCACCAAGGCGACGAUCCGUAGCAGGUCUGAGAGGAUGAUCGGCCACACUGGGACUGAGACACGGCCCAGACUCCUACGGGAGGCAGCAGUGGGGAAUUUUGGACAAUGGGGGCAACCCUGAUCCAGCCAUGCCGCGUGAGUGAAGAAGGCCUUCGGGUUGUAAAGCUCUUUCGGCGGGGAAGAAAUGGCAACGGCUAAUAUCUGUUGUUGAUGACGGUACCCGCAUAAGAAGCACCGGCUAACUACGUGCCAGCCGCCGCCGUAA
RNAcentral lists this ribosomal RNA (502 nucleotides) under uncultured bacterium. RNAcentral's name for it is "partial 16S ribosomal RNA". It matches the Rfam family "Bacterial small subunit ribosomal RNA", at positions 30 to 523 of the family's 1533-position model. The record is from RNAcentral.